RNAcentral lists this ribosomal RNA (433 nucleotides) under uncultured bacterium. RNAcentral's name for it is "partial 16S ribosomal RNA". It matches the Rfam family "Bacterial small subunit ribosomal RNA", at positions 29 to 507 of the family's 1533-position model. The record is from RNAcentral.
AGCGAACGCUGGCGGCAGGCUUAACACAUGCAAGUCGAGCGGGCACUUCGGUGUCAGCGGCAGACGGGUGAGUAACACGUGGGAACGUACCCUUUGGUUCGGAAUAACGCUGGGAAACUAGCGCUAAUACCGGAUACGCCCUUUUGGGGAAAGGCUUGCUGCCGAAGGAUCGGCCCGCGUCUGAUUAGCUGGUUGGUGGGGUAAUGGCCUACCAAGGCGACGAUCAGUAGCUGGUCUGAGAGGAUGAUCAGCCACACUGGGACUGAGACACGGCCCAGACUCCUACGGGAGGCAGCAGUGGGGAAUAUUGGACAAUGGGCGCAAGCCUGAUCCAGCCAUGCCGCGUGAGUGAUGAAGGCCUUAGGGUUGUAAAGCUCUUUUGUCCGGGACGAUAAUGACGGUACCGGAAGAAUAAGCCCCGGCUAACUUCGUG